Molecule: long non-coding RNA, 434 nt
Organism: Mesocricetus auratus (golden hamster)
Lineage: Eukaryota; Metazoa; Chordata; Mammalia; Rodentia; Cricetidae
Exons: 2
Source: RefSeq, a predicted model, not a curated record
CUCUGAAGAGACAGAGGGCCCAGCAGUCACACUCCCUGCCAGACGACACACAAGGCCUACUAACAGCAACAGAAAAUGAAGGACUAAAGCUGCUUCAAGGCAAAGAAAGAGAAAUGAGGUCUGCACUCCACCAGCUGAGGGAAGAAGUGGCAGCUGUGAUCCAGAUGUUUUCCAACAAGCAAAUGAAAACAGUUCAAAAAAAUGAAAGUUCUUCUCAACUCAUGCAUCUCCCAGCAUUGGGAUUAGAAGGCCCACAGGAUCGUCAUGGUCAGAUCAGAGAAGGCAGUGCCAACAGCUUUCACACCAUCACCUGAGCUGGCCUUCUUGCUGCCCAAACUCUCAGAGGCAAGCAACUUUGUCCUCCAGACCAACGUUUGAAGCUUGAAAUCUGGCCACAUUUUUAAAAAUUGAAAUAAAUUUGAUGUAAUUGUAAA